GCCAGACUCCUACGGGAGGCAGCAGUGGGGGAUAUUGCACAAUGGGGGGAACCCUGAUGCAGCGACGCCGCGUGGGUGAAGGAGCGUUUCGGCGCGUAAAGCCCUAUCGGCAGGGAAGAAGGAGGACGGUACCUGACUAAGAAGCCCCGGCUAACUACGUGCCAGCAGCCGUGGUAAUACGUAGGGGGCAAGCGUUAUCCGGAUUUACUGGGUGUAAAGGGGGCGCAGACGGCAGCGCAAGCCAGGAGUGAAAGCCCGGGGCCCAACCCCGGGACUGCUCUUGGAACUGCGCGGCUGGAGUGCAGGAGGGGCAGGCGGAAUUCCUGGUGUAGCGGUGAAAUGCGUAGAUAUCAGGAGGAACACCGGUGGCGAAGGCGGCCUGCUGGACUGCGACUGACGUUGAGGCCCGAAAGCGUGGGGAGCAAACAGGAUUAGAUACCCUUGUA
RNAcentral lists this ribosomal RNA (446 nucleotides) under uncultured bacterium. RNAcentral's name for it is "partial 16S ribosomal RNA". It matches the Rfam family "Bacterial small subunit ribosomal RNA", at positions 330 to 792 of the family's 1533-position model. The record is from RNAcentral.